CAGAGUUCAUGCCCGAAAGGGUAGACCUCCCACCCUUGUGUAUUAUUACUUUGUUGCUUUGGCGAACUGCCCUUGGGCCUUGUAUGUUCGUCAGAGGAUAAUAAAAACUCUUUUUAUUAAUGUCGUCUGAGUACUAUAUAAUAGUUAA
RNAcentral lists this ribosomal RNA (148 nucleotides) under Ciboria caucus. Lineage: Eukaryota; Fungi; Ascomycota; Leotiomycetes; Helotiales; Sclerotiniaceae. The record is from RNAcentral.